This 495-nucleotide ribosomal RNA is filed under the name uncultured bacterium. Its description in RNAcentral is "bacterial SSU rRNA". It matches the Rfam family "Bacterial small subunit ribosomal RNA", at positions 899 to 1397 of the family's 1533-position model. The record is from RNAcentral.
ACUCAAAGGAAUAGACGGGGACCCGCACAAGCAGCGGAGCAUGUGGUUUAAUUCGAAGCAACGCGAAGAACCUUACCAAGGCUUGACAUCGUGCGCAUACGGUAGAGAUACCGUAGUCCUUCGGGACGCAUAGACAGGUGGUGCAUGGUUGUCGUCAGCUCGUGUCGUGAGAUGUUCGGUUAAGUCCGGCAACGAGCGCAACCCUUAUUAUAUGUUGCCAAUAUUAAGUUAGGAACUCAUAUAAGACUGCCGUGGUUAACACGGAGGAAGGUGGGGACGACGUCAAAUCAUCAUGCCCCUUACGCCUUGGGCUACACACGUGCUACAAUGGCCGUUACAAAGAGCAGCGAGCAGGUAACUGUAAGCGAAUCUCAAAAAGACGGUCUCAGUUCGGAUUGUGGGCUGCAACCCGCCCACAUGAAGUCGGAGUUGCUAGUAAUCGCGAAUCAGAAUGUCGCGGUGAAUGCGUUCCCGGGUCUUGUACACACCGCCCGU